GAUGAACGCUGGCGGCGUGCCUAAUACAUGCAAGUCGAGCGAACAGACGAGGAGCUUGCUCCUCUGACGUUAGCGGCGGACGGGUGAGUAACACGUGGAUAACCUACCUAUACGACUGGGAUAACUUCGGGAAACCGGAGCUAAUACCGGAUAAUAUAUUGAACCGCAUGGUUCAAUAGUGAAAGACGGAUUUGCUGUCACUUAUAGAUGGAUCCGCGCCGCAUUAGCUAGUUGGUAAGGUAACGGCUUACCAAGGCAACGAUGCGUAGCCGACCUGAGAGGGUGAUCGGCCACACUGGAACUGAGACACGGUCCAGACUCCCACGGUAGGCAGCAGUAGGGAAUCUUCCGCAAUGGGCGAAAGCCUGACGGAGCAACGCCGCGUGGGUGAUGAAGGUCUUCGGAUCGUAAAACUCUGUUAUUAGUGAAGAACAAAUGUGUAAGUAACUAUGCACGUCUUGACGGUACCUAAUCAGAAAGCCCCGGCUAACUACGUG
This 497-nucleotide ribosomal RNA is filed under the name uncultured bacterium. RNAcentral's name for it is "partial 16S ribosomal RNA". It matches the Rfam family "Bacterial small subunit ribosomal RNA", at positions 28 to 507 of the family's 1533-position model. The record is from RNAcentral.